CCCUUAGAUGUUCGGGGCCGCACGCGCGCUACACUGAAGGAAUCAGCAUGUCUUUCUCCUUGUCCGAAAGGACUGGGUAACCCGCUGAACCUCCUUCGUGCUAGGGAUUGGGGCUUGUAAUUCUUCCCCAUGAACGAGGAAUUCCCAGUAAGCGCGAGUCAUAAGCUCGCGUUGAUUACGUCCCUGCCCUUUGUACACACCGCCCGUCGCUACUACCGAUUGGAUGGUUUAGUGAGAUCCUCGGAUUGGUCCCGGAGCGGCCUCUGGUCGUGCCGGAGUGCCGAAAAGAAUGUCGAACUUGAUCAUCUAGAGGAAGUAAAAGUCGUAACA
This 330-nucleotide ribosomal RNA is filed under the name uncultured eukaryote. RNAcentral describes it as "partial 18S ribosomal RNA". It matches the Rfam family "Eukaryotic small subunit ribosomal RNA", at positions 1470 to 1796 of the family's 1831-position model. The record is from RNAcentral.